Molecule: ribosomal RNA, 472 nt
Filed under: Lactiplantibacillus plantarum
Lineage: Bacteria; Bacillati; Bacillota; Bacilli; Lactobacillales; Lactobacillaceae
Description: bacterial SSU rRNA
Rfam family: Bacterial small subunit ribosomal RNA
Source: RNAcentral
CGAGAGCUCCGCGACGCAGGCGGCGUGCCUAAAUCCAGGCAAGACGCACGCCUCUGGUAUAGAUAGGAGCAAGCAACAACAAUACCAUUAGAGUGAGUGGCGAACUCGUGAGUCACACGUGGGAAACCAGCCCAGAAGCGGGGGAUAACACCUGGAAACAGAUGCUAAUACCGCAUAACAACUUGGACCGCAUGGUCCGAGCUCGAAAGAUGGCUUCGGCUAUCACUCUUGGAUGGUCCCGCGGCGUAUUAGCUAGAUGGUGGGGUAACGGCUCCCCAUGGCAAUGAUACGUAGCCGACCUGAGAGGGUAAUCGGCCACAUUGGGACUGAGACACGGCCCACACUCCUACGGGAGGCAGCAGUAGGGAAUCUACCACAAUGGACGAAAGUCUGAUGGAGCAACGCCGCGUGAGAGAAGAAGGGUCGGCACGUAAAGAUCUUUGUUAAAGAAGAAGAAUUCUGAGAGAUCUGU